This 541-nucleotide unclassified non-coding RNA is filed under the name Limulus polyphemus (Atlantic horseshoe crab). Its description in RNAcentral is "uncharacterized LOC106475422, transcript variant X2". The record is from RNAcentral. Lineage: Eukaryota; Metazoa; Arthropoda; Merostomata; Xiphosura; Limulidae.
UUGGAAGGAUGUAUAACGAAUCAAUACAAUUGGUGCCAAAUGGGACCAUCAUUUAUCAGAAUGGCAUACCUUGUACUUAUCAUAAUGGAAUGGCUUUCUACUCACCUCCCGAUUCACUUUAUCAAGUGCCACAACAACAGGCAGCCUGCCCCAUGGUGUAUGGACAGCCAGUGUAUGUACCUCCACAGCAGUACCAGUAUCAGCCUACAAUGUCUCCACAGUGGGCAGCCAGUAAUCCGUGGCGGUUGACUCCUACAGCUGGAAGUACAAGCUUUGCAUCUGUGAAUAAUACUGAGGGUGGGGCUCUUUUCCCUUCUUUGUUACCUCCUACAUCUUUCUUUUUCUCAGACAGAAACUUCUGACAUUUAUUUUGAUGAGACACAGAAAGGAUAUUGGACCUUUGCACUUGUCCCUUAGCUCCUCUGUGUCUGGCCAGUUCCUUUAUUCUGCUGUUCCAUCAGUGCCUACAGUUACAGCUGCAACAACCACUCCAGCCUCAUCAGAGGUGUAUCAUUAUCACGCCAUACCUCAAUAUACGCAC